Molecule: small RNA, 963 nt
Filed under: Pan troglodytes (chimpanzee)
Lineage: Eukaryota; Metazoa; Chordata; Mammalia; Primates; Hominidae
Description: retained intron
Source: RNAcentral
GGCGAAUUAGAAGAUGGUGAAAUAGACGAUGCAGGAUUUGAAGAAAUACAAGAGAAAGAAGCAAAAGAGAAUGAAAAGCAGAAAAGUGAGAAAGCCUACAGAAAAUCAAGAAAAAAACAUAAGAAAGAGAGAGAGAAGAAAAAAUCCAAAAGGAGAAAACGUGAGAAACAUAAGCAUAAUUCCCCAUCUAGUGAUGAUAGUUCGGACUACAGCCUUGAUUCAGAUGUUGAACAUACAGAAAGUUCCCAUAAAAAAAGAACUGGUUUCUACAGGGAUUAUGACAUUCCAUUUACUCAGCGUGGACAUAUAUCAGGAAGCUACAUAACAUCAAAGAAGGGUCAACAUAACAAAAAAUUUAAAAGUAAAGAAUAUGAUGAGUACAGCACCUACAGUGAUGACAACUUCGGUAACUACAGUGAUGACAACUUUGGUAACUACGGUCAGGAAACAGAGGAAGAUUUUGCCAAUCAGCUGAAACAAUACAGGCAAGCUAAAGAAACCGCAAAUAUUGCUUUAGGGUCAUCAUUUUCUAAAGAAUCAGGGAAAAAACAGAGAAUGAAAGGAGUUCAGCAAGGUAUUGAACAGAGAGUUAAAAGUUUUAAUGUUGGUCGUGGACGUGGCUUGCCGAAGAAAAUCAAACGAAAAGAACGUGGGGGAAGAACCAAUAAAGGGCCUAAUGUGUUUUCAGUAUCGGAUGACUUUCAAGAGGUACUAAGAAUUUAUAUAUAAGAAGGGGAGGAGCUUUUUCAUCUUUUAAUUUAUUUGAUGGCAAAGAAAGCAUUGCGAUUUUAAUGAUACUUCUCUAGUAAAUGAAAAAUUACCAGCUCAGAUAAAAUGAGUAUCAAUAACCUCCAAAAAAUAGUUGUUAAUUAGUUGUGAAACUAAUUUACAGAUUUUGCUGACUUUGAAAUAAAAUUGUUAUGUUUGAAAGAACCUCAAAAUAAAAUUGCUAAGUUUAAAAGC